Molecule: long non-coding RNA, 1234 nt
Filed under: Anas platyrhynchos platyrhynchos (common mallard)
Lineage: Eukaryota; Metazoa; Chordata; Aves; Anseriformes; Anatidae
Description: lncRNA (ENSAPLG00000026497.1)
Source: RNAcentral
AUGCGUGUAUAUGUACUGCUGCAUGGGAGAGAAGUGUCCUUUCCGUGGACAGAAUCUGGGCAGUGUCCUGUGGGUAAGUACACUCAGGAUCCAUCUGAAGCUGCACAAAAGUGGAGUUCCCGGCCUCUGAAGGGACGAAGGAUACACUCAGUAUCUAUAUUCCUCAUUUUAUUCUAUCUCAUCAAAAAAAAAAAAAAAGCAUUGUAUUUUGCCAUUUGUUUUUUGUCCUUUAUAUUAAUGUUUUUCAAAGUCCAUUUCCCUUAUUUCCUUAGUGUGCAAAAAGUAUUUUCUUUGUAUGUUUCCCCCCUUGUUUUGGUUGUCUGGUAUUAUUGGAACGAAAUAAUAUUUUAUUCUGUUUUUCUCUGCUGGUUGUCUUUUAACAUGACACACUCAGGAAAACACAUUAAAUUCCACCUCGUUACUUGUUGUUACAAAGGAGAAAUAUUUGUUUUAACGACAAUAAAAAAAGCUGGAAUGUUCUAGCUAUAUUCCAGAAAUCAGAUGUAAUGAAUUGAUUGAAUGGAGAAUACAUUCUGAGGACAAAAUCCUUUAAAAAUUUCAGUCUCAGGGGUUAGCAGAGCAGUCACCAACAUCUUUGCCUGAUUCUUGUGACUAAGAAAAAAUAUUGAGGGUUUCACAGGGCAACAAAGAAGAGUUCUGUAAAAUGAUUUUCUUCUUUGACAAGAAUCCAGCUACUCAGAGUAGGAGAGUAAACUUUUUCCUUAACUGGAAUGGGUCUCUGAGGAAGAGGAGUAUAGCUAGCAGUUCAUUAUCCUGCCUGCUCAGUGCUCUUUAAGGUAACAGACUACCAUUUUUUCAACACCAAAGGGAUAGGCAAGUCUUCUAGAGAAAUUAAACUUGCUGGCUUUAUGCUGAAUGAGACUUCCUUGCAGUAAGUAUGCAAUGACUGGUUUUCCUAAGUACUUUGCACUACAAUUGAUUUAUUACUGCCAUAUAUGGGGGCAAGGCUAGGAGGGAAAUGGUUCAUUACAGUCAGAGCUAACUAUUGCCAACUACUUCUUUCUUAUUCCAUCUACGCUGUGGGAAGCUGCACAACCACUGUUUGCUGUAAAGGUCCGGGCAAGAGGGUCCUGUCUCCAUGGAGAAAAGGCACAACGCCUCUACCAACUUUAUGGCUGCUUCUUAAGCCAAUUAUUUUAAUAUUUUAGCAGCUCACCUCUGCAUAAUGGUAACUAGGUUUUAUGAUGAAAUAUUUAUGAAGGUUGAAAAACAG